This 79-nucleotide small RNA is filed under the name Citrobacter freundii. Its description in RNAcentral is "isrK Hfq binding RNA". It matches the Rfam family "isrK Hfq binding RNA". Lineage: Bacteria; Pseudomonadati; Pseudomonadota; Gammaproteobacteria; Enterobacterales; Enterobacteriaceae. The record is from RNAcentral. RNAcentral also lists the same sequence under 1 other name.
GCACCUCACAAAACGGGUGCCGGGCGUGAGAACCCGGAUAAGGUCAAAGGCGACAACAGACGCCUAUCGCGUCUUUUUU